CGGGGGGCUGCACCAGUGGGGAAUAUUGCACAAUGGGCGCAAGCCUGAUGCAGCAACGCCGCGUGAGGGAUGAAGGCCUUCGGGUUGUAAACCUCUUUUAGCAGGGAAGAAGCGAAAGUGACGGUACCUGCAGAAAAAGCACCGGCUAACUACGUGCCAGCAGCCGCGGUAAUACGUAGGGUGCAAGCGUUGUCCGGAAUUAUUGGGCGUAAAGAGCUCGUAGGCGGUUUGUCACGUCUGCUGUGAAAAUCCAAGGCUCAACCUUGGACUUGCAGUGGGUACGGGCAGGCUAGAGUGCGGUAGGGGAGAUGGGAAUUCCUGGUGUAGCGGUGGAAUGCGCAGAUAUCAGGAGGAACACCAAUGGCGAAGGCACAUCUCUGGGCCGUAACUGACGCUGAGGAGCGAAAGCGUGGGGAGCGAACAGGAUUAGAUACCCCCGUAGUC
Molecule: ribosomal RNA, 444 nt
Filed under: uncultured bacterium
Lineage: Bacteria
Description: partial 16S ribosomal RNA
Rfam family: Bacterial small subunit ribosomal RNA
Source: RNAcentral